AACGAACGCUGGCGGCAUGCCUAACACAUGCAAGUCGAACGAGACCUUCGGGGCUAGUGGCGCACGGGUGCGUAACGCGUGGGAACCUGCCCUUAGGUUCGGAAUAACUCCCCGAAAGGGGUGCUAAUACCGGAUAAUGUCUUCGGACCAAAGAUUUAUCGCCUUUGGAUGGGCCCGCGUUGGAUUAGCUAGUUGGUAGGGUAAAAGCCUACCAAGGCGACGAUCCAUAGCUGGUCUGAGAGGAUGAUCAGCCACACUGGGACUGAGACACGGCCCAGACUCCUACGGGAGGCAGCAGUGGGGAAUAUUGGACAAUGGGCGAAGGCCUGAUCCAGCAAUGCCGCGUGAGUGAUGAAGGCCUUAGGGUUGUAAAGCUCUUUUACCCGGGAUGAUAAUGACAGUACCGGGAGAAUAAGCUCCGGCUAACUCCGUG
This 433-nucleotide ribosomal RNA is filed under the name uncultured bacterium. Its description in RNAcentral is "partial 16S ribosomal RNA". It matches the Rfam family "Bacterial small subunit ribosomal RNA", at positions 29 to 507 of the family's 1533-position model. The record is from RNAcentral.